CGGGGCGUAGCGCAGUCUGGUUAGCGCGCUUGACUCGGGUUCAAGAGGCCGGAGGUUCAAAUCCUCUCGCCCCGACCA
This 78-nucleotide transfer RNA is filed under the name Candidatus Atribacter allofermentans. RNAcentral describes it as "Candidatus Atribacteria bacterium ADurb.Bin276 tRNA-Pro". It matches the Rfam family "tRNA". From Rfam's summary of the family: Transfer RNA (tRNA) molecules are approximately 80 nucleotides in length. Their secondary structure includes four short double-helical elements and three loops (D, anti-codon, and T loops). Further hydrogen bonds mediate the characteristic L-shaped molecular structure. tRNAs have two regions of fundamental functional importance: the anti-codon, which is responsible for specific mRNA codon recognition, and the 3' end, to which the tRNAs corresponding amino acid is attached (by aminoacyl-tRNA synthetases). tRNAs cope with the degeneracy of the genetic code in two manners: having more than one tRNA (with a specific anti-codon) for a particular amino acid; and 'wobble' base-pairing, i.e. permitting non-standard base-pairing at the 3rd anti-codon position. Lineage: Bacteria; Pseudomonadati; Atribacterota; Atribacteria; Atribacterales; Atribacteraceae. The record is from RNAcentral. RNAcentral also lists the same sequence under 5 other names.